This 77-nucleotide transfer RNA is filed under the name Bacillus halotolerans. RNAcentral's name for it is "tRNA-Phe". It matches the Rfam family "tRNA". From Rfam's summary of the family: Transfer RNA (tRNA) molecules are approximately 80 nucleotides in length. Lineage: Bacteria; Bacillati; Bacillota; Bacilli; Caryophanales; Bacillaceae. The record is from RNAcentral.
GGCUCGGUAGGCUCAGUUGGUAGAGCAACGGACUGAAAAUCCGUGUGUCGGCGGUUCGAUUCCGUCCCGAGCCACCA